This is a transfer RNA of Paraphaeosphaeria sporulosa, 79 nucleotides long. It matches the Rfam family "tRNA". Rfam says of the family: Transfer RNA (tRNA) molecules are approximately 80 nucleotides in length. Their secondary structure includes four short double-helical elements and three loops (D, anti-codon, and T loops). The record is from Rfam. Lineage: Eukaryota; Fungi; Ascomycota; Dothideomycetes; Pleosporales; Didymosphaeriaceae.
GCCCGCUUGGCUCAGUGGUAGAGCGUAUCACUAGUAGUAAGCUAUGAUAAGGUCGUCAGUUCAAUUCUGACAGUGGGCA